GCCUGGGUGGCUCAGUUGGUUGAGCGUCUGAUUCUUGAUGUUGGCUCAGGUCAUGAUCUCAUGGUUUGUGGGUUCGAGCCCCGCGUCAGGCU
Molecule: transfer RNA, 92 nt
Filed under: Felis catus (domestic cat)
Lineage: Eukaryota; Metazoa; Chordata; Mammalia; Carnivora; Felidae
Rfam family: tRNA
About the family: Transfer RNA (tRNA) molecules are approximately 80 nucleotides in length. Their secondary structure includes four short double-helical elements and three loops (D, anti-codon, and T loops).
Source: Rfam by way of RNAcentral